CACAAAUCCACCAAGAAGAAGAGCGACUUAUCACCUACACUUCAGCUGUUUCAAUACAUCAAUAUAUAUUUCGUUUUGUGAACUCUUUGCCAACUUCAAUGAUUUGCCGGCAUGGAAGAUGAAUAGGGAGCUCAAAUUUCUAAUCUCAAAUCAACAACAACACCUGAAGAUCAGACAUUGAUUUUUCUUGAUUCUCUGGAUGAUUAUCUCAUCCUCAUUCAAACCUUAACUUCCACACUUCGCCACGAAUUCAACACUGGAUCCAUAAACUUUCUUUCUCCAAUACUCUAUACUUUUUUCUUUCUUUCAGUUUGUCGUAUGAUCUACGUGAUUGUGUUAUUAAAACUUGAUUUUUUUUUUUUUUUGGAAAUAGUUUGGGAUUUUUACAAUUUCAGUUACUUUAUCAUGAUUCCUUGUCAGUUAUCAUAAAAUUGUUGUAUUUAGAUAUUAUAUUAUCCUUUUCGAUUUUUAAUUUUGAACUGUUUAGGUUGUGCUAGCAAAUAGAACUAGGGUUUAAUUUCAGAUCUGUUUUUGGUGCAUAUGGGUCACGUGGGUUACCCGUCAAAUACCCAACUGAUUGGGUUUCAGAUCCUUUUCGAUUGGGCCUCCGGAUCCUCGGGUUUGGGCUGCUACUCGACCCAACUGAUUGGGUUUUCUUCCUUGUACUCAAGUAGGGGUAUGCAAUGUUUUCAGGACCGGAGGUCGACCAGUCGCCUUACUGGGUCAAAGGUCGGACCGGUUCGACCGGAUUUAAGACCUGGAUUACGUUGUAAAUUAUAUAAAAAUAUAUAUAAAAUAUAGAGAUCAAUUAGCCUUUGAUGCUCCUUAAAAUUUUUGAUAAACUUGUAAGCAGAAGUUUCAAUGUUGAAUUUCAUUAAAAAAUCAUGAUUAUUAUUUUAUAUCUUUAUAUUAGUAGGCAAAAUAGAAAAGAAAAAUUAAAUUACAUAUGUUCAAAAGUAACAGGCGGUAACUAGUUUUAUUGGGAAACAUGAUAUAUAUCUGAACUUACUUGUUGCUUUUUCAAUAUUUUCCCAAUGCAAUGCAUAAUGGUUAUAUUAAUAUAAUAACAAACACUUCAUCUUCUUCAAUUAAGUUGCUGCUGCAACUUUUAAUCGACCAGACUUUUCGUUUUUCGACACCGGAAAAUAUCACCGCUGUGAACGCCCGGCCCGACCGCUCGGCUACCAGCCCAACGACCGCCCCUUUGUUGAAACGGCCCAAAACAGAGAACAGGCCCGCUGCAGUCUCCGGGAUGGCUGGAGUUAGCAAGUGCGAAACAUUCAAUGGGUGCUUCCCGUGUAAACACUUCCUUGCUUAGCUUAGUUAAAACACCGUUCGGCUGCUACAAAAGUGGAGCUAGAUUAUCAUGACAAUGGUGGCUCUACAACAAAGUGACCACAGUUCAGUUUAUGUAAACGGACAUCUACUCAUGAAAAAAACUCAUCUCUCGAGAAGGAAAAUGUCGAGGAAGACGAGCAGUGAAAAGAAAAUAUGAGCAGUCUGGAAUCUGAUUAAUAUUUUGUUCAUUUUUAAGUUUGUGUGUCAUCUUUGCAAGAACCAAUUUACAGCACAUCCGUGCUCAUUUCAUCCCUUUUUGUAUUCAAAGUUCUAUUAAGGUAUGCCUUCUGCUCAAUUUCUUUAUCUGUAUUAUUUAUACACAGCCAAUUUCAACUUGUUUGCAUGAUCAGUUCCAGAUAAGUAAAAAGUUUAUGCAUGUCAACUGUUUGAUGAAAUGUCUGAAUGACUUUACAUUGAUUAUGACCAAUAGUUUGGAUUUGGAUGGUAAAAGGAUUAGAACCAAGGUUGG
Helianthus annuus (common sunflower) is the source of this 1807-nucleotide long non-coding RNA. RefSeq lists it as uncharacterized. NCBI's taxonomy places the organism in Eukaryota, Viridiplantae, Streptophyta, Magnoliopsida, Asterales, Asteraceae. The transcript has 3 exons. The record is from RefSeq and is a predicted model, not a curated record.